AACGAACGCUGGCGGCAUGCCUAACACAUGCAAGUCGAACGAAGGCUUCGGCCUUAGUGGCGCACGGGUGCGUAACGCGUGGGAAUCUGCCCUUUGGUUCGGAAUAACAGCUGGAAACGGCUGCUAAUACCGGAUGAUGACGAAAGUCCAAAGAUUUAUCGCCAGAGGAUGAGCCCGCGUUGGAUUAGGUAGUUGGUGGGGUAAAAGCCUACCAAGCCGACGAUCCAUAGCUGGUCUGAGAGGAUGAUCAGCCACACUGGGACUGAGACACGGCCCAGACUCCUACGGGAGGCAGCAGUGGGGAAUAUUGGACAAUGGGCGCAAGCCUGAUCCAGCAAUGCCGCGUGAGUGAUGAAGGCCCUAGGGUUGUAAAGCUCUUUUACCCGGGAAGAUAAUGACUGUACCGGGAGAAUAAGCCCCGGCUAACUCCGUG
RNAcentral lists this ribosomal RNA (433 nucleotides) under uncultured bacterium. RNAcentral describes it as "partial 16S ribosomal RNA". It matches the Rfam family "Bacterial small subunit ribosomal RNA", at positions 29 to 507 of the family's 1533-position model. The record is from RNAcentral.